UACAGAGGGUGCUAGCGUUGUUCGGAAUCACUGGGCGUAAAGGGCGCGUAGGCGGCCGAUCAAGUCGGAGGUGAAAGCCCGGGGCUCAACCCCGGAAUGGCUUUCGAAACUGCUGAGCUAGAGUACAGAAGGGGCAACCGGAAUUCCCAGUGUAGCGGUGAAAUGCGUAGAUAUUGGGAAGAACACCUGAGGCGAAGGCGGGUUGCUGGGCUGAUACUGACGCUGAGGCGCGAAAGCCAGGGGAGCAAACGGG
This 253-nucleotide ribosomal RNA is filed under the name uncultured bacterium. RNAcentral describes it as "partial 16S ribosomal RNA". It matches the Rfam family "Bacterial small subunit ribosomal RNA", at positions 524 to 776 of the family's 1533-position model. The record is from RNAcentral.